This 510-nucleotide ribosomal RNA is filed under the name uncultured Rikenellaceae bacterium. Its description in RNAcentral is "bacterial SSU rRNA". It matches the Rfam family "Bacterial small subunit ribosomal RNA", at positions 903 to 1382 of the family's 1533-position model. Lineage: Bacteria; Pseudomonadati; Bacteroidota; Bacteroidia; Bacteroidales; Rikenellaceae. The record is from RNAcentral.
CUAUGCGCCUUGCCAGCCCGCUCAGAAACUCAAAGGAAUUGACGGGGGCCCGCACAAGCGGAGGAACAUGUGGUUUAAUUCGAUGAUACGCGAGGAACCUUACCUGGGCUAGAACGCAUUCGGAAUCAGGCCGAAAGGCCUGCGCCAGCGAUGGCCGCUUGCGAGGUGCUGCAUGGUUGUCGUCAGCUCGUGCCGUGAGGUGUCGGGUUAAGUCCCAUAACGAGCGCAACCCCUACUGCUAGUUGCCAGCGGGUCAUGCCGGGGACUCUAGCGGAACUGUCAGCGUAAGCUGCGAGGAAGGUGGGGAUGACGUCAAAUCAGCACGGCCCUUACGUCCAGGGCUACACACGUGUUACAAUGGCCGGUACAGAGGGCAGCCACCCCGCGAGGGGGCGCGAAUCCCGAAAGCCGGUCCCAGUUCGGAUCGGAGUCUGCAACCCGACUCCGUGAAGCUGGAUUCGCUAGUAAUCGCGCAUCAGCCACGGCGCGGUGAAUACGUUCCCGGGCCUU